RNAcentral lists this ribosomal RNA (368 nucleotides) under uncultured soil bacterium. Its description in RNAcentral is "bacterial SSU rRNA". It matches the Rfam family "Bacterial small subunit ribosomal RNA", at positions 26 to 420 of the family's 1533-position model. The record is from RNAcentral.
AGAACGAACGCUGGCGGCAUGCCUACUACAUGCAAGUCGAACGAACUCUUCGGAGUUAGUGGCGCACGGGUGCGUAACGCGUGGGAAUCUGCCCCUUGGUUCGGAAUAACAGUUGGAAACGACUGCUAAUACCGGAUGAUGACGAAAGUCCAAAGAUUUAUCGCCAAGGGAUGAGCCCGCGUAGGAUUAGCUAGUUGGUGAGGUAAAGGCUCACCAAGGCAACGAUCCUUAGCUGGUCUGAGAGGAUGAUCAGCCACACUGGGACUGAGACACGGCCCAGACUCCUACGGGAGGCAGCAGUAGGGAAUAUUGGACAAGUGGGCGAAAGCCUGAUCCAGCAAUGCCGCGUGAGUGAUAGAAGGCCGUUA